GAUUUUCUAACUACUUUCAGUGGGAGGAUUUGAUAAAAGCUGCUACAUCCGUAGCUAAUGUAAUCACGUUGCCUCCUCCAAAAGGGGACAUUGCUGAGAAUGAAAAGGGGCACUAUUAAUAAUAUUUGACCAACAAGUAUGAAUUGUGACUGUCCCACACAAUCUGGAGCAUAUGGUCACCCUCCCAUAGCUCCCUUUUGCAGUACUAUAAAUACAUAAGACAGGAUUUGGGAAAAUUCCCUUUUAAAUGUUUUAAAUUAUGAGAACACAGAUGGAAGGGGACUCAAUCAACUUAGUGCUUCUUUGCUCCAAAUGUGCCCUUCUUUCACAUGCUCUGUCAUCCUGUAACUGGGCCCUAAAAUCAAAGGUCCUCUGGUAGCUGUGCCAUCAUUAGGCUUUGCCAGUAAAAGUGCUGGAGAAACACUGAAGGGGCUUCUCUUCCUGGGUCCAGUACUUUUCUUCUGGCUCUUAUAGCACAGCUGCCUGUGGGCGGCUUCCCAGAACCCAGCAGACAGUUUCCUGCUUGCCAGCCCUGCCUACAGCGCCUCAGCCAACUUCUCUGCCACCCACUGAGCCACUGCCACACCCUCACCCCAGAAUUCUGGCUCUCAGCCUAGGUGGGGAGCGGUGGGAAGUGUCAGCCCUAGAGCUAGUGGCUGCUCCUUUAUCUGUUAUUCCU
RNAcentral lists this long non-coding RNA (679 nucleotides) under Marmota monax (woodchuck). Lineage: Eukaryota; Metazoa; Chordata; Mammalia; Rodentia; Sciuridae. The record is from RNAcentral.